Molecule: long non-coding RNA, 257 nt
Organism: Cercocebus atys (sooty mangabey)
Lineage: Eukaryota; Metazoa; Chordata; Mammalia; Primates; Cercopithecidae
Exons: 3
Source: RefSeq, a predicted model, not a curated record
GACCUGAGGUAUGGAAUGUGUCCUUUCAAGGGAGCAAGUGGAUGCCCUGGGGCUGAGAGGAAUCUUCUGGUGCACUCUUAUUUUGAAAAGCUCCCACUUAUGAAUGAGAGCAUGCAAUGUUUGGUUUUCUGUUCCUGUGUUAGUUUGCUAAGGAUGCUGGCUUUUAGCUUCAUUCAUGUUCUUGCAGAGGACAUGAUCUCAUUCCUUUUGAUGGCUGCAUAGUAUUCCAUGGCAUGGGAUCUGGAUGUCACCCAGGC